CUGGCGGCGUGCCUAAUACAUGCAAGUCGAACGCACUCUCGUUUAGAUUGAAGGAGCUUGCUCCUGAUUGAUAAACAUUUGAGUGAGUGGCGACGGGUGAGUAACACGUGGGUAACCUGCCCUAAAGUGGGGGAUAACAUUUGGAAACAGAUGCUAAUACCGCAUAAAACCUAACACCGCAUGGUGUAGGGUUGAAAGAUGGUUUCGGCUAUCACUUUAGGAUGGACCCGCGGUGCAUUAGUUAGUUGGUGAGGUAAAGGCUCACCAAGACCGUGAUGCAUAGCCGACCUGAGAGGGUAAUCGGCCACACUGGGACUGAGACACGGCCCAGACUCCUACGGGAGGCAGCAGUAGGGAAUCUUCCACAAUGGACGAAAGUCUGAUGGAGCAACGCCGCGUGAGUGAAGAAGGUUUUCGGAUCGUAAGACUCUGUUGUUGGAGAAGAAUGUAUCUGAUAGUAACUGAUCAGGUAGUGACGGUAUCCAACCAGAAAGCCACGGCUAACUACGUG
This 511-nucleotide ribosomal RNA is filed under the name uncultured bacterium. Its description in RNAcentral is "bacterial SSU rRNA". It matches the Rfam family "Bacterial small subunit ribosomal RNA", at positions 36 to 507 of the family's 1533-position model. The record is from RNAcentral.